GCUAUAGGUGUGUCAGGUACGGCGGAGGGGAAACGAGACCGAGCGGUGUCACUUCUAUGACCGCUUAGUUCCUGAUGUGUAUGCGUGUACGACUGCACGUGAAAUGACGGAAUUAGACAUAGCGUGAGGGGAGAGCUGAUCCAAUAGGGAGGGGUAUUUGUGGGAUUCAAGCGGAGGGUGAGCGGUACGUCACGCGCGUCACGAGGUGGUCGUCGGCAGAAAGAAUCCAAAGUGGGCAAGGCAGGUGUCUUCGGCACGACCUCGGACAAGCUUGUGCUUUACUCUUGCCUGUCUGGUGCGAACCACGACGACCGAAUCCACAGCGAAGCAAAGCAGAGCAAUGGCCCGCCAUCACCCAGCCCGUAGCUACUGCGACGGUCACUGAAUGGUCCGGUGCUCGCUAGGGUGAGGGCUUCUCCUCCGGCGAUGAUCCGCUGGAGAGGGGAGUCCGUGAGCGUCCCGCGACUGAUAGAGUUCCUCCGGUCCUCGUUUCAGGGAGGCAUUGCUGAUGGUUGGGAUCAAGAGGGAGUCUCUCGGAGCAGUUGACCGUGAAGGCGGCGGAAAUGAUCGAACUUGAGGCGUCGAGCGGGAUUUGGAGAUUUCGAGAAGCAGGUGUACGGACGUGGAGCAGUGAGUCGAGAAAGGCGAAAGUGAGGGAGGAAGAGGGGGAGGAGGAGGAAACGCGCUCUUUCUUGGAGGCGAGGAUUCGGGAUAUUGAUGGUGGAAAGCUUGGUGCUGAUAAAGAAAUCGAGAAGCGUAGGAGGCGUCGACCUCGAGGAGGAGAUCGCGAUUAAAGGAAGCUUGCAAGGCUACGAACGAGAGGGAACAGAGGGUUCAAUAGAAGGUUGCAGCUUUGCUUGAGCUGCAGAGGAAGCAGGGUAAUGUUGGCAGCUGGAGGAGGCAGUGUAACGUGGUGGAGGCCACGGUCUCAUUACUGGAGGAUAAGAACCAGGAAGAUGAAGAGGGAGGAAGAGAAGGAAAAUGUUAAAGCUUGGGUUGUGCAGCAAGUUGAAGUUGCUUCCAUUGUAACAGGGAAUCCACCUACAAAGGACAAGGGAAGUUCUAUAUUGGGGGAGAGUCAUUGAGAUCAGAAGAAGUGAGGACAAAUCAAAUGCUAAGGAUCACAUCGUGAAGGAGGAAGACGUAAUAGAGGGAGCUUGGAUUACAAGAAUGAAUCAUAUGCUGGAAAGAGUACUAAGUUGGUGUAGGAAGUUGAUAACAGCCAUAUGGAUGGGUUCUUUAAUUUCGACGACUUGUCUGCGGAGUAGUUGGCAGUGACCAUGAGAAUGGUGAUGAUGAUAAUGUUCAGAUUGCCAAACUCAAGGGAAUCACGUAGUGCAGUGAAAGGAAGGUUGUCGUGAGAGUUCACCAACUCUUGGUGGCGAGCAUGACUUCGAGAAACAAGGCAGCAGCAUACGGGAAGCUUGGAUAUCCAGACAGUGAAGAUGAUGAAGGAUCAAGUAAAUGGGAGGGAAGAGGUUGAUGGCAUCAGUCUCACAGAGUGAGGGGUUGAAAGUUUCGGGAUCUACGUGACAAGGCAUAUUUUGGAUUCCAACCACGUCACCACCCGCGGCCCUGCCACAUCAACACGAGGGGGGACUUCCACGUGCCAAGAUAGAAGCCAUGCCGAGGCACCUCUCGGUACACCCCGUCUUGUCUCGGAAAGCUCGGGACGACGCCACCUGGUGUCGUUCCGCACAUUCCGGGACAGCGGCCGCACAAAAGUACCACCUCGCUCCUCGGGGAUCGAUCGUCACGCCAAACCCGCGUACAACCGAUCCUCGCAUAAUAGUAUAAAAGCCUAUGAUCGGCAUCUGGCUGGGGGAGACGGAAGAAAAAAAGAGAAAUCAUUCACUAACUUAGUCAUCGAGGGGCCAAAGUCGGGAACUUCCCAAUGAGGGCCUUCUAUGCAGGAGUGCUGCCGCCCCCAGAAGUGCGACUACCCCGACCGAGAGAUGCCCUCCCUGAAGACGGUGUCAGCGCCCCGAUCAAGAGAACGCCUCCCCCUGACGACGCUAGUGUGCCGACCGAGAGGUGCUUUCCCACAUAUGGCGUUGGCAUCUCGACUUGCGGAUGUAAUCAACCUCGACGCCUCGCCCAACCGAUCGCGUACUCCCGACAUCGAUCCCCAAACCAAACCGUGCUGACACAUCAACCACGGUACACUCGUUCAUCAACACUAUGGUCGCAGAUUUUCUUACAAAUGGUGAUCCCUAUGGCCUACCAAUGAACUCUGCCCAUGAUUUGGAGAAUUAUGAUCCAUAAGUGCUUGAUUACCGAUGUAAGCUUGUUAGUUGAUACACUAAGCAGUUUACAAUCUACCAGACAAACAGGAGCCCUUCUUUCAUCCAUCGAAACUGAUGCUGCGGCUCAGUUGUUUUGCCCCAGCAUCGACCGCAACCUGGUCCGUGCUUCCUUAAGAAAAGCCUUGUUAGUUGGAAAUAAAUGGUUUGUCGUGCGAUAUGCUAUUUCUACUAAUCAGCUAUAGCGGUUUGUCAUAGUGCAGGUGAUCUUAGUUCGAUUGCAGUGACUCUGUGUUCAUGCAAAUGAUCCCGUUUGAUGGUCACUUCCAUCUUUGUAGAUCAUCUCCCGUCAUGAUUUGAUGCUUCAUCAAACUCUAUGGUAAAUGGCUCUGUCCUGUCCUUCUGGAUCCUCUCUGUCCAGAUGAAUCAUGUAGAACACAGACAGACACUUGUGUUUGAGUCGGUAUUUGUUUAGUUGAUGCUCUGUGCAGAUAUCGUUUAGUUACAUGUGUACUCUAGUGGCCCCAAAAUGUGUGCUGGUUACAGAUGGAAUGAUAACAAGGUUAAUUUAGAGAGCUAUCCUUUUUCCGGAACAGAUUCCAUGGACCGAAAGCUUUCAUCUCUGAGAAAGGAGCAGCAGCAUGAGCUCGGUUGGGCGAGGCAUGGCCACGAUGAACCUCAUGGCCGACGGGGAGGGACAGCAGCAUCAGCAACUGAGGGAUGGACGAGGCUGCUUCCAGAUGCCGGUGCGCUACCCUACGUACACCCAAGCCGACUAUGAGGCGAUGCCCGAGUGGA
This is a long non-coding RNA of Musa acuminata AAA Group (dessert banana), 3041 nucleotides long. RefSeq lists it as uncharacterized. The record is from RefSeq and is a predicted model, not a curated record. The transcript has 3 exons. NCBI's taxonomy places the organism in Eukaryota, Viridiplantae, Streptophyta, Magnoliopsida, Zingiberales, Musaceae.